Molecule: long non-coding RNA, 257 nt
Filed under: Lathyrus oleraceus (garden pea)
Lineage: Eukaryota; Viridiplantae; Streptophyta; Magnoliopsida; Fabales; Fabaceae
Description: Pisum sativum (pea) long non-coding RNA (PSAT_LNC027791)
Source: RNAcentral
UGCACGGGUGAUAUAGAUCUCUUUAUAGAUCUCCCCAAGCAGAUGUCGGGUGUUUAAAAUCUCUCCAUAUAGAGUCAGCCCCAUAAGCAGAAAAUGUUGCCUUUCCUUCUGCAGUUCCCCACUGAGAUAUAUCCUCGUGGAUGACGGUUUCUUCUGUUUCCUCCCAACACAUAUAUUGGGAUGGAUGUUCCUAUUUGAGUUACAUCCUCAUUAGGACGUGUCUUGAUUCAGUCUGUCUUUUCGGAUUAUUCCCGAAU